CUGUUCAUCAUAAUUUCCUGUUGCCUUGCAGAUCACAAAAUUAUAUCAACUUUGGAAAAGCCGCGAGAAUCGGCCUCGGCACCAACGCUUGAAGCGGAUUUGCCUGAAACGAGCCACCGCUCAUCAAUAUCAACCCAGUAUCGCCAGGUGAAACGAGGCUCUCUGGGUGCUCUGACCAUGAGCCAGAUAAUGAAGAGGCAGCUGGAGCAUCAAUCCAGUGCCCCGCAUAAUAUCAGCACCUGGGACACGGGUCCAACGAAAACUAGUCUCCUCUCUGCACCGAGCACCGUCAGUAUGUUCGUCCCUGCACCUGAGGAGUUCAUUGACGAGCAGCCAACCACGAUGUCUGACAGGUGCCGGGACUGUGCGGCCGUGCUGGAGG
This is a long non-coding RNA of Thalassophryne amazonica, 382 nucleotides long. RefSeq lists it as uncharacterized. The transcript has 4 exons. The record is from RefSeq and is a predicted model, not a curated record. NCBI's taxonomy places the organism in Eukaryota, Metazoa, Chordata, Actinopteri, Batrachoidiformes, Batrachoididae.